UUGAAAAAGUUGAGUGAGGUAGAAAUUACCAUAUGUUCUCUUACUUAUUAUGGUGCAGAUGUAAAUAUCCAGACUUUAAAUCAAUUGGAGGAAAUUUAUGCAUACAAAAUCUUGACUCACUUAAAUCAUCAUUUAAACAUUCUGUAACUUUAACAGAUAUUGCUGUUUUCAGAUCCAUGUCAAAUGUUGAAACUGGCAAGAAACACACUAGUGUACAAAGGGAUGAUAAUUUCAGGAAUAGAGGUUGUAUUAAAUGGGAAUAUAUAGUUAAAUUAAAUAGGACUUAUUCUUCUUAUUAUUAUUACAGG
This 308-nucleotide long non-coding RNA is filed under the name Androctonus crassicauda. The record is from RNAcentral. Lineage: Eukaryota; Metazoa; Arthropoda; Arachnida; Scorpiones; Buthidae.